This 233-nucleotide ribosomal RNA is filed under the name uncultured Lactobacillus sp. RNAcentral describes it as "partial 16S ribosomal RNA". It matches the Rfam family "Bacterial small subunit ribosomal RNA", at positions 129 to 355 of the family's 1533-position model. Lineage: Bacteria; Bacillati; Bacillota; Bacilli; Lactobacillales; Lactobacillaceae. The record is from RNAcentral.
GCCAAGAGAUCGGGAUAACACCUGGAAACAGAUGCUAAUACCGGAUAACAACAGAUGAUGCCUAUCAACUGUUUAAAAGAUGGUUCUGCUAUCACUCUUGGAUGGACCUGCGGUGCAUUAGCUAGUUGGUAGGGUAACGGCCUGCCAAGGCGAUGAUGCAUAGCCGAGUUGAGAGACUGAUCGGCCACAUUGGGACUGAGACACGGCCCAAACUCCUACGGGAGGCAGCAGCC